GACAGAAGGUGCAAACGUUGUUCGGAAUUACUGGGCGUAAAGCGCGUGUAGGCUGCUUCGAAAGUCGGAUGUGAAAGCCCUGGGCUCAACCUAGGAAGUGCAUUCGAAACUUCGAAGCUUGAGUUCUGGAGAGGAAGGCGGAAUUCUCGGUGUAGAGGUGAAAUUCGUAGAUAUCGAGAGGAACACCGGUGGCGAAGGCGGCCUUCUGGACAGUGACUGACGCUGAGACGCGAAAGCGUGGGGAGCAAACAGG
This 253-nucleotide ribosomal RNA is filed under the name uncultured bacterium. RNAcentral describes it as "partial 16S ribosomal RNA". It matches the Rfam family "Bacterial small subunit ribosomal RNA", at positions 524 to 776 of the family's 1533-position model. The record is from RNAcentral.